GGGCCCGCACAAGCGGAGGAACAUGUGGUUUAAUUCGAUGAUACGCGAGGAACCUUACCCGGGCUUGAAAUAUGUCUGACCGGGGUGGAAACACCCUUUCUAGCAAUAGCAGAUAUGUAGGUGCUGCAUGGUUGUCGUCAGCUCGUGCCGUGAGGUGUCGGCUUAAGUGCCAUAACGAGCGCAACCCUUAUCUUUAGUUACUAACAGGUCAUGCUGAGGACUCUGAAGAGACUGCCGUCGUAAGAUGUGAGGAAGGUGGGGAUGACGUCAAAUCAGCACGGCCCUUACGUCCGGGGCUACACACGUGUUACAAUGGGGGGUACAGCGAGUUGCUUACUGGUGACAGUUGGCUAAUCUUGAAACCUCUCUCAGUUCGGAUCGAAGUCUGCAACCCGACUUCGUGAAGCUGGAUUCGCUAGUAAUCGCGCAUCAGCCACGGCG
Molecule: ribosomal RNA, 441 nt
Filed under: uncultured Bacteroidota bacterium
Lineage: Bacteria; Pseudomonadati; Bacteroidota
Description: bacterial SSU rRNA
Rfam family: Bacterial small subunit ribosomal RNA
Source: RNAcentral